Molecule: transfer RNA, 73 nt
Filed under: Eubacteriales bacterium
Lineage: Bacteria; Bacillati; Bacillota; Clostridia; Eubacteriales
Description: tRNA-Pro
Rfam family: tRNA
About the family: Transfer RNA (tRNA) molecules are approximately 80 nucleotides in length.
Source: RNAcentral
CCGGGUGUAGCGCAGCUGGUAGCGCGCUUGGUUUGGGACCAAGAUGUCGGGGGUUCGAAUCCCUCUACUCGGA